This 384-nucleotide ribosomal RNA is filed under the name uncultured Streptococcus sp. Its description in RNAcentral is "bacterial SSU rRNA". It matches the Rfam family "Bacterial small subunit ribosomal RNA", at positions 996 to 1382 of the family's 1533-position model. Lineage: Bacteria; Bacillati; Bacillota; Bacilli; Lactobacillales; Streptococcaceae. The record is from RNAcentral.
AUUUCUAGAGAUAGAAAGUUACUUCGGUACAUCGGUGACAGUGGUGCAUGGUUGUCGUCAGCUCGUGUCGUGAGAUGUUGGGUUAAGUCCCGCAACGAGCGCAACCCCUAUUGUUAGUUGCCAUCAUUCAGUUGGGGCACUCUAGCGAGACUGCCGGUAAUAAACCGGAGGAAGGUGGGGAUGACGUCAAAUCAUCAUGCCCCUUAUGACCUGGGCUACACACGUGCUACAAUGGUUGGUACAACGAGUUGCGAGUCGGUGACGGCGAGCUAAUCUCUUAAAGCCAAUCUCAGUUCGGAUUGUAGGCUGCAACUCGCCUACAUGAAGUCGGAAUCGCUAGUAAUCGCAGGUCAGCAUACUGUGGUGAAUACGUUCCCGGGCCUU